CUCGUAGGCGGCUUGUCGCGUCGACCGUGAAAACUUGGGGCUCAACUCUGAGCUUGCGGUCGAUACGGGUGGGCUGGAGUUCGGUAGGGGAGACUGGAAUUCCUGGUGUAGCGGUGAAAUGCGCAGAUAUCAGGAGGAACACCGGUGGCGAAGGCGGGUCUCUGGGCCGAUACUGACGCUGAGGAGCGAAAGCGUGGGUAGCAAACA
RNAcentral lists this ribosomal RNA (207 nucleotides) under uncultured bacterium. Its description in RNAcentral is "partial 16S ribosomal RNA". It matches the Rfam family "Bacterial small subunit ribosomal RNA", at positions 568 to 774 of the family's 1533-position model. The record is from RNAcentral.